GCGCCUGUAGCUCAGCUUGGAUAGAGCAUUGGACUUCGAAUCCAAGUGUCGGGGGUUCGAAUCCCUCCAGGCGCGCCA
Molecule: transfer RNA, 78 nt
Filed under: Nitrospirales bacterium
Lineage: Bacteria; Pseudomonadati; Nitrospirota; Nitrospiria; Nitrospirales
Description: tRNA-Arg
Rfam family: tRNA
About the family: Transfer RNA (tRNA) molecules are approximately 80 nucleotides in length. Their secondary structure includes four short double-helical elements and three loops (D, anti-codon, and T loops).
Source: RNAcentral